GAUGAAGAACGUAGCGAAUUGCGAUAAGUAAUGUGAAUUGCAGAAUUCAGUGAAUCAUCGAAUCUUUGAACGCACAUUGCGCCCGCUAGUAUUCUGGCGGGCAUGCCUGUCCGAGCGUCAUUUCAACCCUCAAGCCCCCGGGCUUGGUGUUGGGGAUCGGCGAGCCUCCGCGCCCGCCGUCCCCUAAAUCUAGUGGCGGUCUCGCUGUAGCUUCCUCUGCGUAGUAGCACACCUCGCACUGGGAAACAGCGCGGCCACGCCGUUAAACCCCCAACUUCUGAACGUUUGACCUCGGAUCAGGUAGGAAUACCCGCUGAACUUAAGCAUAUCAAUAAGCGGAGGA
RNAcentral lists this unclassified non-coding RNA (343 nucleotides) under soil metagenome. RNAcentral's name for it is "partial contains 5.8S ribosomal RNA, internal transcribed spacer 2, and large subunit ribosomal RNA". The stretch from base 1 to 120 matches the Rfam family "5.8S ribosomal RNA", at positions 35 to 154 of the family's 154-position model. The record is from RNAcentral.